UGCCCCGUGGUGUAAUUGGCAACACGGAUGAUUCUGGAUCAUUUGUUCAUGGUUCAAGUCCAUGCGGGGCAGCCA
Molecule: transfer RNA, 75 nt
Filed under: Candidatus Omnitrophota bacterium
Lineage: Bacteria; Pseudomonadati; Candidatus Omnitrophota
Description: Candidatus Omnitrophica bacterium tRNA-Gln
Rfam family: tRNA
About the family: Transfer RNA (tRNA) molecules are approximately 80 nucleotides in length. Their secondary structure includes four short double-helical elements and three loops (D, anti-codon, and T loops). Further hydrogen bonds mediate the characteristic L-shaped molecular structure. tRNAs have two regions of fundamental functional importance: the anti-codon, which is responsible for specific mRNA codon recognition, and the 3' end, to which the tRNAs corresponding amino acid is attached (by aminoacyl-tRNA synthetases). tRNAs cope with the degeneracy of the genetic code in two manners: having more than one tRNA (with a specific anti-codon) for a particular amino acid; and 'wobble' base-pairing, i.e. permitting non-standard base-pairing at the 3rd anti-codon position.
Source: RNAcentral